AGAGUUUGAUCAUGGCUCAGGACGAACGCUGGCGGCACGCUUAACACAUGCAAGUCGAACGAGAGAAGAGGAGCUUGCUUUUCUGAUCUAGUGGCGGACGGGUGAGUAACACGUGAGCAAUCUGCCUUUCAGAGGGGGAUACCGAUUGGAAACGAUCGUUAAUACCGCAUAACAUAAUUGAACCGCAUGAUUUGAUUAUCAAAGAUUUAUCGCUGAAAGAUGAGCUCGCGUCUGAUUAGCUAGUUGGUAAGGUAACGGCUUACCAAGGCGACGAUCAGUAGCCGGACUGAGAGGUUGAUCGGCCACAUUGGGACUGAGACACGGCCCAGACUCCUACGGGAGGCAGCAGUGGGGAAUAUUGCACAAUGGAGGAAACUCUGAUGCAGCGAUGCCGCGUGAGGGAAGAAGGUUUUAGGAUUGUAAACCUCUGUCUUCAUGGACGAAAAAAGACGGUACCUGAGGAGGAAGCUCCGGCUAACUACGUGCCAGCAGCCGCGGUAAUACGUAGGGAGCGAGCGUUGUCCGGAAUUACUGGGUGUAAAGGGAGCGUAGGCGGGAUCGCAAGUCAGAUGUGAAAACUAUGGGCUUAACCCAUAAACUGCAUUUGAAACUGUGGUUCUUGAGUGAAGUAGAGGUAAGCGGAAUUCCUAGUGUAGCGGUGAAAUGCGUAGAUAUUAGGAGGAACAUCAGUGGCGAAGGCGGCUUACUGGGCUUUAACUGACGCUGAGGCUCGAAAGCGUGGGGAGCAAACAGGAUUAGAUACCCUGGUAGUCCACGCCGUAAACGAUGAUUACUAGGUGUGGGGGGACUGACCCCUUCCGUGCCGCAGCAAACGCAAUAAGUAAUCCACCUGGGGAGUACGACCGCAAGGUUGAAACUCAAAGGAAUUGACGGGGGCCCGCACAAGCAGUGGAGUAUGUGGAUUAAUUCGAAGCAACGCGAAGAACCUUACCAGGUCUUGACAUCGUAUGCAUAGCUCAGAGAUGAGUGAAAUCUCUUCGGAGACAUAUAGACAGGUGGUGCAUGGUUGUCGUCAGCUCGUGUCGUGAGAUGUUGGGUUAAGUCCCGCAACGAGCGCAACCCUUACUGUUAGUUGCUACGCAAGAGCACUCUAGCAGGACUGCCGUUGACAAAACGGAGGAAGGUGGGGAUGACGUCAAAUCAUCAUGCCCCUUAUGACCUGGGCCUCACACGUACUACAAUGGCUGUCAACAGAGGGAAGCAAAGCCGCGAGGUGGAGCGAACCCCUAAAAGCAGUCUUAGUUCGGAUUGUAGGCUGCAACCCGCCUACAUGAAGUCGGAAUUGCUAGUAAUCGCAGAUCAGCAUGCUGCGGUGAAUACGUUCCCGGGCCUUGUACACACCGCCCGUCACGCCAUGGGAGUCGGUAACACCCGAAGCCUGUAGUCUAACCGCAAGGAGGACGCAGUCGAAGGUGGGAUUGAUGACUGGGGUGAAGUCGUAACAAGGUA
Molecule: ribosomal RNA, 1470 nt
Filed under: metagenome
Description: bacterial SSU rRNA
Rfam family: Bacterial small subunit ribosomal RNA
Source: RNAcentral